CGGCACGGACUUAAAUCCGUUGGCUUUAAUAGACCUUGAGGGUUCAAGUCCCUCUACCCCCA
RNAcentral lists this transfer RNA (62 nucleotides) under Cheilolejeunea grandistipula. Its description in RNAcentral is "partial tRNA-Leu". The record is from RNAcentral. Lineage: Eukaryota; Viridiplantae; Streptophyta; Jungermanniopsida; Porellales; Lejeuneaceae.